Molecule: long non-coding RNA, 1489 nt
Organism: Panicum virgatum (switchgrass)
Lineage: Eukaryota; Viridiplantae; Streptophyta; Magnoliopsida; Poales; Poaceae
Exons: 5
Source: RefSeq, a predicted model, not a curated record
CGUUCGGUGGCCGAGGCGUUCGUCGCCGUAUCUCGUGUUCUUGUGAAGAUCCUCGGUUCCAACAGCAACGGCCUCCCUCCACCCCCUGCCGCACCUCUCCACCAGGCCGCGCGGUUGCCGCGGAGAAGGCCGUAGCCUGGCCGCCAGCUUCAUCGGCACCGCGGCCUCGUGCCCGCCCGUCGCCGCCCGCGUCCUCCCCCGACUUGCCUCCGCCACAGCUUCUAUGAACGCGUCGAUCCGCCUCGCCAUCUGGGACCCACUCGCCGCCGGCGACCGCGGUCAUAUCAACCUGCCCGCCCUAGCGAUGCCGCGGCGCCCGAGGAGCAGGAACGCCGCGCUGGUGUGCAAGGACGACCCGGGAGGGCCCUUCCACGUCGUCCUCAUGGGCACGGACGACCUCGCCACGCCGGCCAUGUCCGUUGUGCACCUGCCUCCAGCGUCCCAUAACCAGCGCAUCGCGCUCAACCUGACGGAGGACGGCAACCUGGGGUUCGUGAGGAUGGAGGCCGGCUUGACGUUCUUCUGCUCCGCCACGACCACAUCCGUCGCACGGUAGCAGGUCCUUGUUAAACUGUCUAGCUUAAGUGCAUCCAGCCUGCUUUGAAAGUGUCUCCAAAGCAGUCAUCAAUGGCUUCCCCAUCAGCAUCAUCCUCAUGCAUCUUCAGAAGUCUUUCAGGCAACUUCUGUGAUCUCCAAGUUAACUGAGGAGAAAAUUUCUGCUAUUCAGCAAAACCAGAAAUUGGGGCAAGAGCUGGUAAGUUCUCCAGGCAUCUGAUCGUCUGCGGCAACUGUAAAAAAUAUUGCCCUGUACCUAGGCGGAUCAAUUUCCUUCGUCCUAACUCUGCACCUCUUUGUCUCCACCAAGGUCUCUGCCUACCACUUUUAUUUUUAUUUCUAUAACGCCAGGACUUGCACAGUAAGUCCAUGCCAGAACCAGACAUAACUUUUUAGAAUUCUGCGCCUCCACAGGUCCAUCCAUCAAUAACAGUUAGCAAAACAGUUACCAAUGGUCUUCUUGUCUUGUCAUCUCCAUUAUGGACACGAGGAAACAAGGUAGCUGCUGCCAGGUUCAUACACGAACCAUGCCGCACGUAUGAUACAGUAACCUUACAUAUCCGGGGUCUUCUAACCGUACUUAAAUACUACCUCAUUGCUUUAUUCCUCCACACCAAAAGAUGCUUUUGACAUCGUUGGAACUGCCGCUUACCAUAGGCGUUCAACGGCACGUCACAGCAGUCGUCCGACGGGCUUGCAGCUAAUUAUUAAGACAUCUCCACCAAGGUUUAGCUGAAGUAGUGUUAGACCCACUUUUAGUUAUGUCCGUUGAACCGAACAUUUGUGAUAUUUGUGCUAUGUAGUAGUACUUGCUAUUUUAGUUGCCGUCAUAUCAGUGAAUUGGCAACUUAGUUAUCCUAUUUCGAUGUUUUCUUACUUUAGUUGAACAACCGUAUGCUUUAAUUCUUAAUGCAAAUCAUCUGCGUGUUAAAUA